CUUUCCAGAGAUGGAUUGGUGCCUUCGGGAACUGUGAGACAGGUGCUGCAUGGCUGUCGUCAGCUCGUGUUGUGAAAUGUUGGGUUAAGUCCCGCAACGAGCGCAACCCUUAUCCUUUGUUGACAGCGAUUAGGUCGGGAACUCAAAGGAGACUGCCAGUGAUAAACUGGAGGAAGGUGGGGAUGACGCCAGAGAUGGAUUGGUGCCUUCGGGAACUGUGAGACAGGUGCUGCAUGGCUGUCGUCAGCUCGUGUUGUGAAAUGUUGGGUUAAGUCCCGCAACGAGCGCAACCCUUAUCCUAUUGGAGUCGCGAUUAGGUCGGGAACUCAAAGGAGACUGCCAGUGAUAAACUGGAGGAAGGU
RNAcentral lists this ribosomal RNA (362 nucleotides) under Salmonella enterica subsp. enterica serovar 4,12:i:-. RNAcentral's name for it is "bacterial SSU rRNA". The stretch from base 1 to 233 matches the Rfam family "Bacterial small subunit ribosomal RNA", at positions 996 to 1228 of the family's 1533-position model. Lineage: Bacteria; Pseudomonadati; Pseudomonadota; Gammaproteobacteria; Enterobacterales; Enterobacteriaceae. The record is from RNAcentral.